Molecule: ribosomal RNA, 441 nt
Filed under: Escherichia coli
Lineage: Bacteria; Pseudomonadati; Pseudomonadota; Gammaproteobacteria; Enterobacterales; Enterobacteriaceae
Description: partial 23S ribosomal RNA
Rfam family: Bacterial large subunit ribosomal RNA
Source: RNAcentral
ACUUGGUGUUACUGCGAAGGGGGGACGGAGAAGGCUAUGUUGGCCGGGCGACGGUUGUCCCGGUUUAAGCGUGUAGGCUGGUUUUCCAGGCAAAUCCGGAAAAUCAAGGCUGAGGCGUGAUGACGAGGCACUACGGUGCUGAAGCAACAAAUGCCCUGCUUCCAGGAAAAGCCUCUAAGCAUCAGGUAACAUCAAAUCGUACCCCAAACCGACACAGGUGGUCAGGUAGAGAAUACCAAGGCGCUUGAGAGAACUCGGGUGAAGGAACUAGGCAAAAUGGUGCCGUAACUUCGGGAGAAGGCACGCUGAUAUGUAGGUGAAGCGACUUGCUCGUGGAGCUGAAAUCAGUCGAAGAUACCAGCUGGCUGCAACUGUUUAUUAAAAACACAGCACUGUGCAAACACGAAAGUGGACGUAUACGGUGUGACGCCUGCCCGGUGC